UAUUCCCUGGGCAAUGCCGGACUAGCUCAGUGGAUGCCCAGGGGGGGUAGGAACCUAUGCCCGCAGUCCGCACAACAAAACACCGAUUAAUCGGACGUCUCAACAAAACUCCUCACUAACAGAUAACACAUCUCUAACAAACAAAAGUAAACAAACCAAAAAUUGACGACUUUUGCGGAAUGGUGGCAUAGAUGGAGUCGCCACGACGCUCCCGCCCAACCUGUGGUGCCUCCGGUGUGUCUAGGGGCACCACCCAUCUCCGGCGGACCGGAGUCUAAUCCAGGCGGCUCGACGGCCGGCCCAUCUCCCCAGGUAUUUAAGGCUAACAUUGGCAGAGUACAUAUUUGUAACCCAGGUAACACCUCACUUGCUCCCGGCGAGAGCGUGGCCUCAGCCAGGGAUGCGCUCGCGCCAAGGCUGCCAAGCAAAUGUUUCCGGAUAUCGCGGAGGAGAAGCGGCGCUCCGCCAACACACAACAGGCCACAACCUGGCCAAAAGAAUUUGCUACUUCCAACCUGAUAUCCCUACUGGAGCUCCAAGAGAAAUAAAAGGGGAGAGGGUUCUUCUUCGAUUUUGGUUCAGCUUCUUCACCCCUAAUCGGCCCUAUUGCAGCCUUGUGUUGCACAAAUCCCGGACCCAGGGACUACGACAACGCAGAGGACAAAUUACGGCGAUACCAACUAGAAGGCACUAUUGGCGACCCGCAAAUGGCUUCGGUGGCCUGAGUGGCCAGAAAUCGUGACGACUGUUGGCGACGGCUAGCCCGAGGAAAGUAGGGCCAGUAGGACGUAGCCACGGCCACGUCGUUUCGGAGAAGAGGCAGAGCCAAUGGAUGUCCCCAAAUAUGGGUACGAAAA
Drosophila kikkawai is the source of this 857-nucleotide long non-coding RNA. RefSeq lists it as uncharacterized. NCBI's taxonomy places the organism in Eukaryota, Metazoa, Arthropoda, Insecta, Diptera, Drosophilidae. The record is from RefSeq and is a predicted model, not a curated record.